RNAcentral lists this non-coding RNA (46 nucleotides) under Trichobilharzia regenti. Lineage: Eukaryota; Metazoa; Platyhelminthes; Trematoda; Strigeidida; Schistosomatidae. The record is from RNAcentral.
GUACCGCUGAAGAGUCCGAGACUAGUACGAAACAGCUGUCCAGUAC